AUGCUCUGCCUCUCUAACCCUGUCUUAUAUUCUUGGCAAAGGUGUGGAGUGUUUGAGCUACAUUAAUUAUGUAUUGGUUUGGGGGUGCCAUAUCUAGUGUAAUGUGUCACCACGGUUUUCAAUUCAACA
Molecule: non-coding RNA, 129 nt
Organism: Pelobates cultripes (western spadefoot toad)
Lineage: Eukaryota; Metazoa; Chordata; Amphibia; Anura; Pelobatidae
Source: the annotation of a GenBank genome assembly